GCCAGGCAUGCUGGUGUUCUCUUGCAGUCCCAGCUUUGGGAAGGCUGAGGCAGGAGGAUUUCCCAAGAAUUCUGGGCUGUUGUGUAGUAUGCUGAUCAAGUGUCUACACUAAGUUCAUCGUCAGUAUGGUGUUCUCUUGUGAGUGGAGGACCACCAGGUUGCCUAAGGAGGGUUGAACUGGCCCAGGUUAGAAACAGAGCCUAUCAAAACUCCUUUGCUGAUCAGUAGUGGGAUCAUGCCUGUGAAUAGUGAUUGCACUCCACUCUGGGCAAUGUAGCAAGACCCUAUCUAUU
Otolemur garnettii (small-eared galago) is the source of this 293-nucleotide non-coding RNA. The record is from Rfam. NCBI's taxonomy places the organism in Eukaryota, Metazoa, Chordata, Mammalia, Primates, Galagidae.